GAUGUCCCCAAAGACCCCUCACCCUGCUCUGGUUUCCUUUUUCCCUCAUCUCAACGCCUCAGGGAGAAGUAAAUCUGCAUCUCACUUCCCCAACUCACCCUCAACUCCCAAUCACUCGCCUUUACUAAAACCUGGGUCCUCCUCCCCGACAUCCUCUAAUUCCCACCGAGCUCUCACUCCAGCGAGAUACACAUCUACUGCGCCUGUCUUCCAGUAAGCUGGAGGCCCCCUCACCUGAACGCCGCUGCCGCUGCCGUCCCAGAAGCCGAAACGUGCUGGCGCCGGACGGCCUCCCAGAAUCGGUCACCGCUGAGCUCCUGACGGCCCCUAGGGAAAGCGAACGCCACCACCUCCAACUCUGCCCGCCCCGGGCCAGGCCGUCACCGUACCCACUGCCAGUACCACAGCCGCCAUGUUGAAGUCCUACUUCCCUCCUCCUUCCCCUCACCACUCCGCCCCUUUGGGCGUCUGACGUCAUGGCGCCGCGCUCCACCCUCCCUGGGCCAAUGGGAGGAGCCGACGAAUUCCAGAGAAGUGGUGCCUGGGUGGCUCAGUCGUUAG
Callorhinus ursinus (northern fur seal) is the source of this 561-nucleotide long non-coding RNA. RefSeq lists it as uncharacterized. The record is from RefSeq and is a predicted model, not a curated record. Lineage: Eukaryota; Metazoa; Chordata; Mammalia; Carnivora; Otariidae.